Molecule: ribosomal RNA, 250 nt
Filed under: uncultured bacterium
Lineage: Bacteria
Description: partial 16S ribosomal RNA
Rfam family: Bacterial small subunit ribosomal RNA
Source: RNAcentral
UACGGAGGGUGCAAGCGUUGUUCGGAAUCACUGGGCGUAAAGGGAGCGUAGGCGGACUUUAAAGUCUGAUGUGAAAGCCCGGGGCUCAACUCCGGAAGUGCAUUGGAAACUUAAAGUCUUGAGUUCGGGAGAGGAAGGCAGAAUUCCCGGUGUAGGGGUGAAAUCCGUAGAGAUCGGGAGGAAAACCAGUGGCGAAGGCGGCCUUCUGGAACGAAACUGACGCUGAGGCUCGAAAGCGUGGGGAGCAAAC